ACAUAGAUGGAUACAGGACAAUUCAACAUAAUUAACAGUUGACGAUUAACUUGAUAACAUAACAAUGAGGGAAUGUCUUGGUGCUAUUUGUUGCACCCUGAAGGGUCCAGAAAAAAGAGGAAUUUACAAGUUACCCAGACAUUUCACAGAUAUGUUAUCUUAGAGGCAAGAAGACAAAUGGGCUCAGUAAAGAUCUAAGUUGAUCUUUGUCAGGGAAAACAUUGGCCUGGGACAUGAGAACCCACUAUAACCUGUGUGUAGUUAAAUAUUUAAUUUUCAGACCAUCUUUUGUGGUUAUUUUAGGUCUCUGAGUCUGCAAGACUGCCAUGCAGGCCUCCCCUGAGCUUGUGACCCCUGUUGUCCACACUACACAUGCUUAAAAAUGCAGUAAGCAACACACUGAAAAUUCUGUCUAUAUCCCAUGCGAAGCUACAUACAUAGGUCUCCCAGAGACAUUGCAGGGCCAUUUUAAACUGUCACAGAGAAUUGGAAGCCCAGCAUGCAAGUUAUCAUUUUCAAGGUCCUAGGUGUGUGGUGAUUUUGCUCAGGAAUAUAGAUCCAAGUACCCAAUUAGUCCGAAUAAGACCAGAACUGUAUGUGUGAGAGACAUGGAGAAUGGCAUGAAUCACUAACUGUUGGUAUGUAUUUUCCUCCAAGCAGCCUUUUCUCCGGAUUCACAUCUUCGUCUGACAUUGAUAUAGAGCAACGUGGAUAUUGGAGCAGGCGGUCGUUUUCACUCAAGCAUAGAUUUGGCAGGAAGAAAAGCCAGAAGGGGGAGCAGAAGGCACAGGAGCAGGAACCGUUCUUGAAAAUGGAGCGGAGUAAAUCUGCUGAUUCCUUAAGGAGGAUGGACACGUCCGAGUCUGCUUCUGACACAGGUGGGGAAACCAGCGCCUGAUACCUUCACAGAGCAAGGCCAUCUUCUGCCUAAUUAAACAUGUAUUGCAAAUGUGUCA
This is a long non-coding RNA of Myotis lucifugus (little brown bat), 956 nucleotides long. RefSeq lists it as uncharacterized. The transcript is spliced from 3 exons. The record is from RefSeq and is a predicted model, not a curated record. NCBI's taxonomy places the organism in Eukaryota, Metazoa, Chordata, Mammalia, Chiroptera, Vespertilionidae.